GUGAGGAAUAUUGGUCAAUGGGCGGGAGCCUGAACCAGCCAAGUCGCGUGAAGGAAGAAGGAUCUAUGGUUCGUAAACUUCUUUUGCAGGGGAAUAAAGUGCAGGACGUGUCCUGUUUUGUAUGUACCCUGAGAAUAAGGAUCGGCUAACUCCGUGCCAGCAGCCGCGGUAAUACGGAGGAUCCGAGCGUUAUCCGGAUUUAUUGGGUUUAAAGGGUGCGUAGGUGGUUUGAUAAGUCAGCGGUGAAAGUUUGCAGCUUAACUGUAAAAAUGCCGUGGAAACUGUAGGACUUGAGUGUAAAUGAGGUAGGCGGAAUGCGUGGUGUAGCGGUGAAAUGCAUAGAUAUCACGCAGAACUCCGAUUGCGAAGGCAGCUUACUAAGCUACAACUGACACUGAAGCACGAAAGCGUGGGGAUCAAACAGGAUUAGAAACCCUAGUAGUCC
This 445-nucleotide ribosomal RNA is filed under the name uncultured bacterium. RNAcentral describes it as "partial 16S ribosomal RNA". It matches the Rfam family "Bacterial small subunit ribosomal RNA", at positions 354 to 796 of the family's 1533-position model. The record is from RNAcentral.